This 323-nucleotide unclassified non-coding RNA is filed under the name uncultured fungus. RNAcentral's name for it is "sequence contains ITS1". The stretch from base 1 to 106 matches the Rfam family "5.8S ribosomal RNA", at positions 50 to 154 of the family's 154-position model. Lineage: Eukaryota; Fungi. The record is from RNAcentral.
UAACUGUGAUAAGUAGUAUGAAUUGCAGGAUUCAGUGAAUCAUCAAAAUCUUGAACGCAAAUUGCACCAACUAGUUUAUUUAGUUGGUAUAUUUGUUUGAGGGUCAAUAAUUAUAUUGAAAUUAAUUUUAUAAAUUAAUUUUUAGUUGAGUAACUUGCUUUUUUAAGCAUUACUUUAAAAAUUCAAAAGAUAUUUAUCUAAUCCAACUAGUCAUUUUACGAUGGCUGGCAAGAUAGUUGGCAACAGACGAAUAUUUAAACGUGAAAAAGUUUUAAAAUCAAAAACUUGACCUCAAAUCAAAUAAGACUACCUGCUGAACUUAA